RNAcentral lists this ribosomal RNA (533 nucleotides) under Citrobacter freundii. RNAcentral describes it as "partial 23S ribosomal RNA". It matches the Rfam family "Bacterial large subunit ribosomal RNA", at positions 2245 to 2777 of the family's 2925-position model. Lineage: Bacteria; Pseudomonadati; Pseudomonadota; Gammaproteobacteria; Enterobacterales; Enterobacteriaceae. The record is from RNAcentral.
UUGCGGACAGUGUCUGGUGGGUAGUUUGACUGGGGCGGUCUCCUCCUAAAGAGUAACGGAGGAGCACGAAGGUUAGCUAAUCCUGGUCGGACAUCAGGAGGUUAGUGCAAAGGCAUAAGCUAGCUUGACUGCGAGAGUGACGGCUCGAGCAGGUGCGAAAGCAGGUCUUAGUGAUCCGGUGGUUCUGAAUGGAAGGGCCAUCGCUCAACGGAUAAAAGGUACUCCGGGGAUAACAGGCUGAUACCGCCCAAGAGUUCAUAUCGACGGCGGUGUUUGGCACCUCGAUGUCGGCUCAUCACAUCCUGGGGCUGAAGUAGGUCCCAAGGGUAUGGCUGUUCGCCAUUUAAAGUGGUACGCGAGCUGGGUUUAGAACGUCGUGAGACAGUUCGGUCCCUAUCUGCCGUGGGCGCUGGAGAAUUGAGGGGGGCUGCUCCUAGUACGAGAGGACCGGAGUGGACGCAUCACUGGUGUUCGGGUUGUCAUGCCAAUGGCAUUGCCCGGUAGCUAAAUGCGGAAGAGAUAAGUGCUGAAAG